This 299-nucleotide ribosomal RNA is filed under the name uncultured Porphyromonadaceae bacterium. RNAcentral describes it as "partial 16S ribosomal RNA". It matches the Rfam family "Bacterial small subunit ribosomal RNA", at positions 499 to 795 of the family's 1533-position model. Lineage: Bacteria; Pseudomonadati; Bacteroidota; Bacteroidia; Bacteroidales; Porphyromonadaceae. The record is from RNAcentral.
GCCUACGGGCGGCAGCAGCCGCGGUAAUACGGAGGAUCCGAGCGUUAUCCGGAUUUAUUGGGUUUAAAGGGUGCGCAGGCGGCAUGUUAAGUCGGCGGUGAAAUUUUGCAGCUCAACUGUAGAAGAGCCUUCGAAACUGGCAAACUUGAGUGUGGAUGAAGUAGGCGGAAUUUGUGGUGUAGCGGUGAAAUGCAUAGAUAUCACAAAGAACACCGAUUGCGCAGGCAGCUUACUAAACCAUAACUGACGCUCAUGCACGAAGGCGUGGGGAUCAAACAGGAUUAGAUACCCUGGUAGUC